This 5544-nucleotide long non-coding RNA is filed under the name Sus scrofa (pig). RNAcentral describes it as "lncRNA (ENSSSCG00000061304.1)". The record is from RNAcentral. Lineage: Eukaryota; Metazoa; Chordata; Mammalia; Artiodactyla; Suidae.
CUCUGCAGGCUUGAUCAUGAUUUUUUUUAAGUACUAAAUAGUACUCCAUUGUUUGGAUAUACAAUUGGAUAUACAUUGUUUUACUCUCCUAUUAAAGAGUGUCUUAGUUGCUUUCAGGUUUUGACAAUUUGAAUAAAGCUGUUAUUAAUAUCCACAUGUUGGUUUUUAUGUGGACAUAAAAUUUCAUCUCAUUUGGAUAAAUGCUAAGGUAUACAAUUGCUGGAUCAUAUGGAAAGACUAUGCUUAGAUUUGGAAGAAUUGGUCAAAAUUGUUCUUCCAGUUAGCUGAACCAGCAAUGAAUGAGAAUUUUUAUUGCAUCAUGUCCUUUCCAAUAUUUGAUAUUGUUGGUGUUUUGAAUUUUAGACUUUCCAAUAACUAUGUAGUGACAUCUCAUUGUUGCUUUAAUCUGCUACUCCCUAAUGACUGUGCUUAUUUUCCAUGUGCUUUUUUGCCAUGUAUAUAGUUUUCUGUUUUGCCAUGUAUAUAGUUUUCUUUUGCCAUUUAUAUUAGAUCAUUUAUUUUCUUAGUAUUUAGAUUUAAGGCUUCUUUGUAUAUUCUGGAUACCAGACUCAUCCAAUAGAUGUUUUGAAAAUAUUUCCUCCCAAUAUGUGGUUCAUCUAUCCAUCUUAUUAACAAUGUAUUUUCUAAACUGGAAGUUCUUUAUUUUAAUGAAGUCAAAUUUAUCAUUUUUUUCCCAUGGAUUUUGCCUUUGGUAUUAUUGUGUCCAAAUAAUAUUUGCCAAAUCCAAGGUCACCUUGAUUUAUUCCUAUGUUAUCCUCUAGGAGUUUUAUAGUGCUAUGUUUAUGAUCCAUUUUGAGUUAGUUUUAGUGAAAAGUAUUAGGUCUGUGUCUAGAUUAAUCUUUUUUAAACGUGUGUGUAUCUAGUUGUUCCAGCACCAUUUAUUGAAAGGACUAUUCUUUUGCAGUUAAAUAGCUUUUUUUUUCUCUGUCAAAGAUCAGUUGACUAUAUUUGCACAGAAAGAGAAUAUUUUAGGAAUCGAUUAUAGAAAUUAAAAAAGAUAGGAAUAUAAUUGCCAGCUUAUAUACAAAAAUAGUUUAUGUUAUAGAAGGCAAUACAAUCAUAACACUGGGUUCUUCUAGACAGGAAUUAAUUGCAUCUCUACUGGAUUAAAAAAUAUCCAUAACUUAAUGUGCAACUACAGAGUCUAGGUCAUAAUCAGUAGUAAGUAUUAUAUCAAGCAAAAGCAUAUCCUUAUAGAUCUGAGCUUAAAUGACACAUCUUCAGGAAGGUCUUUCUCUAGUAUGCUAUCUUCAGUCUCCUCCCAAAGGUCAUUUUAUCACAUCAUAUAUUUAUUUCCUUUUUUAAUAUAUAUUCCUGACCCCUAUAACUCCUAUGAACAAAUAACAAGUGUAAAAGAAAUGAGACCUCCCAUUUGUCCAGCUCCCUUGCAUUUAAGCUGGCCCUGUUGGUUUGCUACCAGAAGUAAUUCCAGGCAUGAGCAUAGGAAAUAUGUUGUGAGUCCUUCUUUUUGCAUUGUAGACUGAUGAAAAAUGUAAGAUCUUGUUUGGAGGUAAAGGAGAAUGUCAAGAUCUAAGCUGCCUAAAUGACAGAUUUGCCACAAUGUUGUCUAGACUGAUGGCUGAACCUUAAGGAUAGCAAGAAAUAAAAUUUUGUGUGUAUGAAAUUUUGGUGUCAUUUGUUAGCACAAUAAAACAUAUGCUAUCCUGAUGAAUAUAGCAUGUACAUGUUAAUACAGUAUACACAUAUUUAGAUGACUGGGUAAAGGAAAAUGAAGAAAAUAUAUUUAGUCCAAUGAGAACAAUCCUAAAUGCAGCAAAAUAAUUUCAUUUCAAAAUGCAAGUGAAUUUAUUGCGUCAUUCAACUUCCCAGAGAAUUAUGGAAGGUUUCCGCCUAAUUGUAUACUUGUGCAUCAUAUGUCUAUGGGACCCAUGUACUUAGCAGUCAUAUGUGACCCAUGUAUUUAGCAGUCACUAAUUAACUACUCAAUUAAAGUGAAAGCCAAGUUGGAUCUAGUAAUAAGAGGUUCUGCCUGAGUUACUCUAAAAUUUUGAGACAUAAGAACCUGGAAAGCAGUUACACGGGUUAGGAGCAAACGUCAUAGACGUGUCCAAGAUCCAAUAAGAUCAGUCAUCAGCUUAUGUGUAUAUGGUUAAUCCUCUCAAGUUCAAAUUUGGUCUUUAUUCUUAUCUUUUGCCUGUUUAAUCUUGGCCUUCAUAUCUGUCCUCCUCUGUUUUGCUAGGUACUUUAGGACACUGAAGAUUUACAAAUUGUAUUUCUUCCUUGUCUUGUCAGCCAGCUUUCUGAUAGAUUCUGCCAAGAGAAAGCAUUGUUGGUAGAUCAAAACGUGGAAGGAGUAGAAGAACUUUCUGAUUCUGGUACAGCAGUUUCUGGCAGGAGCUAGAAUUACCUGGAGCAGUGAUAACAGUGAACUAUCAGUGAGCACCAGCAUUUGUUUGAUCGUUUCAAUGCUGAUCACUUUACCAGUGUGCUCAGAACUACAACUGUGGCCUCUUCUUGGGGGGUGGGGGGGAGUGUUGGUUGACACAGGCUGGUAGCCUCCAGCCCAGAUGCAUCCGCAACUUAGAUUUCCUGAUAGUAUCUUUUUUUUAAUUCUUUCAGUCCCUAUCAUCCUGCUUUUGAUCAUUCAGGCCCUUUGUCAACCUUGUAAUCACUCAGCCUGUUUGAACAACAUAGACUGAUUUCUAUUUCCCUGAUGGGACUGUGGCAGGCACAGUGAUGGUGUGUUUGACAUGGUACAGGGAAGGCAAUAGUGAGGGAACUGGAAAUUUGUCUGAAGCACAUUUUGCCACACAAAUGAGGGUAUGGGAUAUAAUGCAUAGUAAAAGGAAAAAAAUUUCAUAUUUAAUAUGCGCAGUUUUAUUUACUCAUCUGAAUGUCUCUUGGACAUUGAAAAUUGAAGUAAAUAAUCAUACAGACAUCUAGGUAACCUGAAAUUGCUGCCUGAAGUUUCAUGCCCUAAAAUCCAUGCACUUUACUCUGUUGGAUAUGUCUUUUUCACACUCUUCUAACAAGCCCUUUUAUCUCUCUCCUCAGCCCAAGGUAAAUGUCCUUGGAACAACAAUUUUAUCUGGGGGUGUUAGAAUUACUCUUAAAAGCAUAGUGACCAAAACCAAGGUUAAUAACUGACAGCUUAACAAUAGAGGAAAAAGAAAUACUCAAAAAAAGAAACAUGGGAAUUCUUAAAGUAUAAUCAUAAGAAUAAAAUGUAUAGAGGCACAUUUAUUUACAACUUUAAAAAUAUCUCCAAAUGUGUAUAAGUAUCCAUUUUUUCUAUGACUUUAAUCAUUAAUACACUUUAUCUCUAAAAUUUUAAAAUUCCAGGAGUAUAUAGUUGUAUAGGUAUAAUUACAUGACAAAUAUUACCUGUUUUAAUUAAGCAGGAAAAGUACAUAAAUGGCUCUGAUAGGUAAAUGAGAUUUUCUUUAUAUAUAAUGUCCAUGGACAGUUUGUUUUUAUAUUGAUUACUCAGCAUAACUUUUAAUGGUGCCAUAUUUUACACUUAAGAUUUUUCUGGUUUGUAUAAGAAAUUUCAUCGUUAUCCUAUUGGUAAUGUACUUAUAAUUUAUUGUAAACUAUGCAUUUUGGUUAUAUCCAGUGGUUAUAAUUUCUGACAUAUGGUAGUAAUGACAGAGAUUGUUAGUUGUCCUCAAUAUCUAUGCUCCUGUCUUUCCAGAAUUAUAAAUGCCAAUUCAGAAUACACAUGACUUUUUAAGGAGCUAAGUGUGGCUGUGUGGAUAAGUUCAGUGGGAUAUGGACAAAGAUGUCAUCUGGAAGUUUCCUGAGGACUUACUUAAGAGAGAGCUUGUAGAUACAUUUUGACUUUAUUUUCAUCCCCUCCUUGUCACUCCUUGGGAUGUGUAUGCUCCAUUUGGACAUGAGGUUGUAGAGGGGGGCAAACCCUUCCAGAAUAAGGCAGAUUUCUCAACCAGAAAGUCUUUGGUUCCCUGGGGAGUUCGGAGAGCCAGUAACCAGCUCUGAACCACUUAUCUGUAGAAUGUUUAUACAGUAGAGAAAUAAACAUAUGUCCUGUUUAAGACACCUUUAUUUGUUGUCAAAUAUAGUAUUUACUGAGAUAGUAGAUAUUUAAUAAAUGUCCAAAUAGUGAAUCAAUUAUUGGAUGAAGACCAAACUAACAUUCAGUCAAACCUAGAGACAAUAUUUUAUUUAAAAUGCUUCAGGGAGUUCCCAUUGUGGAGCAGCGGAAAUAAAUCUGACUAGUAACCAUGAGGUUGUGGAUUUGAUCCCUUGCCUUGCUCUCUGGGUUAAGGAUCUGGCAUUGCCAUGAACUGCAGUGUAGGUCGCAGACGCAGCUCGGAUCUGGCAUGGCAGUUGCGUAAGCCAGUGGCUACAGUUCCUAUUUGACCCCUAGCUUGGGAACCUCCAUAUGCUGUGGGUGUGGCCCUAAAAAGCAAAAUAAAUAAAUAAAUAAUAAAAUGUCUUCAGCAGCAAGGUACAGAAAAAUCCAACUCAAAUUGCUUGAACAACAUUAAUAUAUAUUUGCUCAUGUAACAGCCAGCACAGGAUUCAGGGUCUGAUGUUUAAUGGCAAGUAGUGUCAUGAUUUAUACAUAUUCUUUCUAUGGUGUCACUCCCGGUCAUCCCUUGGCAGUCAUGGUAGAUUUAGAGUGAUCGCAGGAAGUAAUAACAACCUUAUUCAGCAGGAAAGGAAUGACUGUACCCUAAAUUUUAGAAGCGAAAAACUUUUCUGGGAAGUUAGUUGUAAACUCACAUUGUCUUGAAUUGUUCUCGUUCCUUUCAUCAUCAGAAUCCUAUGUGCUGAUUUGACUUAGGCUGGGGUUUUUGAAGCAGUAAACGGCAAAGAGGCUGAGAUAUUCAUUAGAGUCUUAGACUAUUUAAUAUUUAUAGAAAAAAAGAGCAUUUAAGAAAAUGAAAGUAGAUUUUUAUAUAAAAUUAAAAAAAUUAAAUUUUGCUUUAAGGCUGUUUUUCUAUAAAUAUUCCUAAGGUAACAGUGAGCACUGAUACAGAAAUUUCAAAGCAUUUGAUCUGCAAAGUUAUACCUGGCAGGUCUGUCUUAUUUUUGGCCUUUUUAUUUUUCACUUUUGAGUAUUUGGCAGGACUAAUCAUGUUGAUUGAUAUGUGGUAAAAAGACACUGAUGUGAAAACUGCUUCUGAGCAAUAUGUUGCUGAUGAAAAUGAUGCAAUUCAAGAUUUUUAAAAUAGUAUUAGGAGAUGCAUGGAUUUUAGUGAUAUUGGAAUAAGACUUCUAUUUGGACUGAUAUCUGCUAAUGGUUAAGCUAAAUUGCAAUGCCAGUAGCAUUUCCUGUCAAAAGAGAAAAUGAGACUUAAAAAUGCCUAGAAAAGUUUUCUUUAUAGUAUAUCAUUACAUUAUAAAUCAAUCUGGGAAAAUUAUGUAGGUGGUUAUCAAUGGCUACAAGGUGAAUUGUCCAUUUUUCUUACUUUGAAACGUACUUUCAGUAUUCUGCUCAGUUUUCUAGGUUAAAUAUAAUAUGGUAAGCACAGAUAAUAAGAAGCCACAUUUUUCAAUCUCACACUUCCUAUUACUUUUAGAAUUAUAUCUAUU